CCUACGGGAGGCUGCAGACGAGAAUAUUCCGCAAUGGGCGAAAGCCUGACGGAGCGACGCCGCGUGAUUGAUGAAGUGCUUCGGUACGUAAAGAUCUUUUAUCAGGGACGAAGUUUAUUGACGGUACCUGAUGAAUAAGGGGCUCCUAACUCUGUGCCAGCAGGAGCGGUAAUACAGAGGCCCCAAGCAUUACCCGGAAUCACUGGGCGUAAAGGGUGUCAAGGCGGCUUUAUUAGUCUCCCGUAAAAUCCGUGGGCUUAACCUACGGCCGGCGGGGGAAACGGUAAAGCUCGAGGGCGCGAGAGGUGCACGGAACUCAUGGUGGAGGGGUGAAAUCCGUUGAUAUCAUGGGGAACACCAAAUGCGAAGGCAGUGCACUGGCGCGUUCCUGACGCUCACACACGAAAGCCAGGGUAGCGAACGGGAUUAGAUACCCUUGUAGUC
This 444-nucleotide ribosomal RNA is filed under the name uncultured Parcubacteria group bacterium. Its description in RNAcentral is "bacterial SSU rRNA". It matches the Rfam family "Bacterial small subunit ribosomal RNA", at positions 338 to 795 of the family's 1533-position model. The record is from RNAcentral.